Molecule: ribosomal RNA, 484 nt
Filed under: uncultured crenarchaeote
Lineage: Archaea; Thermoproteati; Thermoproteota
Description: bacterial SSU rRNA
Rfam family: Archaeal small subunit ribosomal RNA
Source: RNAcentral
AAAACUUUACAAUGCGGGAAACCGUGAUAAGGGGACACCGAGUGCCAGCAUCAUAUGCUGGCUGUCCGGGUGUGUAAAAUACACCUGUUAGCAAGGGCCGGGCAAGACCGGUGCCAGCCGCCGCGGUAACACCGGCGGCCCGAGUGGUGAUCGUGAUUAUUGGGUCUAAAGGGUCCGUAGCCGGUUUGGUCAGUCCUCCGGGAAAUCUGAUAGCUUAACUAUUAGGCUUUCGGGGGAUACUGCCAGACUUGGAACCGGGAGAGGUAAGAGGUACUACAGGGGUAGGAGUGAAAUCUUGUAAUCCCUGUGGGACCACCUGUGGCGAAGGCGUCUUACCAGAACGGGUUCGACGGUGAGGGACGAAAGCUGGGGGCACGAACCGGAUUAGAUACCCGGGUAGUCCCAGCCGUAAACGAUGCUCGCNAGGUGUCAGGCAUGGCGCGACCGUGUCUGGUGCCGCAGGGAAGCCGUGAAGCGAGCCACC